GCGUCCGGCGCAGGGGGCGCGCGGCUCCGCGGGGCUGCGCGCCCGCGGCUCCCGGCAACUUCUGCUCCUCUGGGGAGCGCCGGGGUGCUGGCGGGUCCUGCCCGGCCGCCGGGGCUGGGCGUGGGGCGCGGGGACGGGAACGGGUCCGGGUCCGGGUCCUGCCUGCAGCGCUCCGGAGCUGGCGGAGAAAGCCAGAUUGGUUUCCUGAUCCAGCUCACUGUGCAGGCACACAAGCAAGGCAGGGGAACAUCAACUGAAGAGUACCUAUGACACUGGCAUUGUGGAAAAAGACAGAGAUGACGUUAUGCAGAGUGUUGUUGCCAAUUACACAUUAGAGAUGAUUCAGAUUAUUUGUCUGUGACUUCAGAAGACUAAUAAAUCAUCGAAGGAAGUUCCCUAUAGUUCCACAUAUGCUAAUUUGUAUAUAAAAAGACGGGGAAAAUGUCUUGAAAUGCUAAAUGAAAAAGAACUUUAAAAUUUCAGUCUUGUUAAUAAAGUUAUAAAUGUCAAUAACCAAUACAAUCCCUUGUUUUCUGAAAAAAAUAA
Tyto alba (common barn owl) is the source of this 546-nucleotide long non-coding RNA. RefSeq lists it as uncharacterized. The record is from RefSeq and is a predicted model, not a curated record. NCBI's taxonomy places the organism in Eukaryota, Metazoa, Chordata, Aves, Strigiformes, Tytonidae. The transcript is spliced from 3 exons.